AGAUAAUUAGUUUAAAAAAGACAUUUGAUUUCGGCUCAAAAGCUUGUGGUUAAAACCCACAAUUAUCCA
Molecule: non-coding RNA, 69 nt
Organism: Lates calcarifer (barramundi perch)
Lineage: Eukaryota; Metazoa; Chordata; Actinopteri; Centropomidae
Source: the annotation of a RefSeq genome assembly